UCCCAGUUGUCUCCCAUGAAAACUUCCUGUUAAACACGCAACAUGCUGGCGAGAAUUGCAAUUGAGUGAUCGAAUGUUUUUAAGAUGUCGAGCCUUUUGUUGGUCGGACAAUACCAGCUAUAUCACUUACAUUGAUAACAUUUCAAAGAACUACCCGAAUACCGUAUGUCACAUAUUGAAGAAUUCUCAAGAAACUGUUAACAAGAAUAUAGCGUGCGCGAAAACUGGAUCUCUUACUCGUCAGAAAUGAUAGUUGCGAAUGUGGCAUGAACACUGACAUUUGAGGGCCGACAUAUUACAAGUUCGUCACUGAACAGGUGCCUUAAGUGUCGUACUUUUGACCAAUCACUGCAUAUUUUGGACAUAAUCCCAGGUCAAAUCCAAAAUAUACAAUAUGCCUGCCCUGUGCGAAAAGACGGUUGAUGAUAUCGAGGACAUAGUCUCUCAGCAUGAUUUGGGUUCUUAUGACAGAGACAUAUCUCGCUCGGAAGUGCUGCCACGGGCUCGCAAGUCAAAAGUUACGAAGCGACAUAUGUCAAUAGAAGAGAAUGUUGAAGCUGAUAGUUAUAUUCCAGGAACCCACAAGGUGUAUGUAAAGACCUGGGGCUGCUCUCACAAUAACUCUGACAGUGAAUAUAUGGCUGGACAGCUAGCAGCAUACGGUUACAAAAUCACAGAGGAGAAAGAGAAAGCCGACCUGUGGCUGCUGAACAGCUGUACUGUGAAAAGUCCAGCGGAAGAUCACUUCCGGAAUGAGAUCACUCGGGCUCGCGAGCUGGGCAAACAACUGGUGCUGGCGGGGUGUGUUCCUCAAGGUCAACCCAAGGCCGAUUACAUCCAGGGGCUGAGUGUCUUGGGAGUGCAGCAGAUAGACCGGGUCGUGGAGGUCGUUGAGGAAACCCUGAAAGGUAAUUCAGUUCGACUACUUGGUCAGAAGAAACAAGAAGGCAAGAAAACAGGUGGCGCCUCACUCAGCCUACCCAAGAUUCGCAGGAACCCGCUCAUCGAGAUCAUCGCCAUCAACACAGGAUGCCUGAAUCAGUGCACGUACUGCAAGACGAAGCACGCCCGGGGGGACCUGGGCAGCUACGAACCUGCCGCCAUUGUAGCCCGGGCGAUACAGUCAUUUGAGGAGGGUGUUGUCGAGAUAUGGCUGACAUCGGAAGACCUUGGCGCCUACGGUCAUGACAUUGGCGUCACAUUGCCCGAGUUGCUAUGGCAACUUGUUGAGGUUAUCCCAGAGGGUGCCAUGAUGAGACUGGGGAUGACCAACCCUCCAUACAUCCUGGAACAUCUUGAGGAGAUGGGGAAGAUCCUGCAGCACCCCCGAGUCUACUCCUUCCUUCACGUGCCCGUCCAGUCUGCCUCCGACAGCGUUCUCAUGGACAUGAAGCGGGAGUACUGUCUGGACGACUUCAAGCAUGUCGUGGAUUUCCUCAGAAGCAGAGUACCAAAUGUUACCAUAGCAACAGAUAUUAUUUGUGGAUUUCCUACAGAAACAGAAGAGGACUUCGUGGAGACGAUGGAGCUGGUGAGGGAGUACAAGUUCCCCAGUCUCUUCAUCAACCAGUUCUUCCCCCGACCAGGCACCCCGGCUGCUAAGAUGAACCGCAUACAUCCCCAGGAGGUAAAGAAGAGGACGAAAAGAGUCUCUGAACUGUUUCAGUCUUACAGCCCGUACGAACACAAGCUGGGAGAGAAGCAGACGGUGUUGGUGACAGAGACCUCCCACGACAAUCAGUUCUACGUCGCACACAACAAGAGUUACGACCAGGUGCUAGUUCGUAAGGAUGACAACCUGAUGGGCAAGAUGGUGGAUGUGGAGAUCGUGGAGACGGGUAAACACUUCCUCAAGGGGAGACAACUGAAAGGCAAGGAUGCUGUUCGCCCAGCAGUUCCUCCACCAAAGAAGAAGGGCGAGGUCUCGGGUGUUGAGCUGGCAGAGCAGCAGGCUUCCCAUUCUGUUUUGAUGUGGGUGGCUGUGGGUGCUAUUGCCCUGGGUAUGGCCUGGAGGCUGUGCAACAUCCUGCUGACAUGGGCCCAGUGACCUGACCGGGAUGGGAGGCUCAGAGACCUGCUGACUGGGAUGGGAGGCUCAGUGACCUGCUGACAGGAACAGGAGGCUCAGUGACCUGCUGACUGGGAUGGGAGGCUCAGUGACCUGACUGGGAUGGGAGGCUCAGAGACCUGCUGACUGGGAUGGGAGGCUCAGUGACCUGACUGGGAUGGGAGGCUCAGAGACCUGCUGACUGGGAUGGGAGGCUCAGUGACCUGCUGACUGGAACGGGAGGCUCAGUGACCUGCUGACCGGAACGGGAGGCUCAGUGACCUGCUGACUGGAACGGGAGGCUCAGUGACCUGCUGACAGGAACGGGAGGCUCAGAGACCUGCUGACCGGAACGGGAGGCUCAGUGACCUGCUGAGUGGGAUGGGAGGCUCAGUGACCUGCUGACUGGAACGGGAGGCUCAGUGACCUGCUGACCGGAACGGAACGGGAGGCUCAGUGACCUGCUGACCGGAACGGGAGGCUCAGUGACCUGCUGACCAGAACGGGAGGCUCAGUGACCUGCUGAGUGGGAUGGGAGGCUCAGUGACCUGCUGAGUGGGAUGGGAGGCUCAGUGACCUGCUGACCGGAACGGGAGGUUCAGUGACCUGCUGACCGGAUCGGGAGGCUCAGUGACCUGCUGACCGGAUCGGGAGGCUCAGUGACCUGCUGAGUGGGAUGGGAGGCUCAGUGACCUGCUGACCAGAACGGGAGGCUCAGUGACCUGCUGAGUGGGAUGGGAGGCUCAGUGACCUGCUGACCGGAACGGGAGGUUCAGUGACCUGCUGACCGGAUCGGGAGGCUCAGUGACCUGCUGACCGGAUCGGGAGGCUCAGUGACCUGCUGACCGAGAUGGGCAGUUCAGGGACAAUGCUUGUAUCUCCUAAGGCUGUGUGAGAAGUGUUUAAGCUGGUCUGUGAUAUAGACACUCCUCACUCACACUGUAACAUUUUGUUUUAUCGUCAUGUGAGAAUGCUGUAAGUGUGAUUCAUGGACAGUUGGUGGAAGACUGCCACUAUUGUGUUUAUGCAACACAAAGAAUAAACUGAGUAAAAUGAA
RNAcentral lists this unclassified non-coding RNA (3104 nucleotides) under Haliotis rufescens (red abalone). RNAcentral's name for it is "threonylcarbamoyladenosine tRNA methylthiotransferase-like, transcript variant X1". Lineage: Eukaryota; Metazoa; Mollusca; Gastropoda; Lepetellida; Haliotidae. The record is from RNAcentral.